CAAAAAAGGAAAAAAAA
RNAcentral lists this small RNA (17 nucleotides) under Arabidopsis thaliana (thale cress). RNAcentral's name for it is "ATSL019390". Lineage: Eukaryota; Viridiplantae; Streptophyta; Magnoliopsida; Brassicales; Brassicaceae. The record is from RNAcentral.